CAUUAAAAUGUUACAAAGAUUUUUUUAAUGCUAUCAAAAAUCAUUCUAUAUCAUUACUGUGCACAUACACACAUGCAUAGACAUGGGGAAAAACAGUAAUGGGUUCCUUAUUUUCU
This 116-nucleotide microRNA precursor is filed under the name Octodon degus (degu). RNAcentral's name for it is "miRNA (ENSODEG00000022065.1)". The record is from RNAcentral. Lineage: Eukaryota; Metazoa; Chordata; Mammalia; Rodentia; Octodontidae.